GUCCUGUUGGUCAAAUGGUUAAGACGCCACCCUUUCAAGGUGGAGCUACGGGUUCGAUUCCCGUACAGGGUA
Molecule: transfer RNA, 72 nt
Filed under: Jeotgalibacillus malaysiensis
Lineage: Bacteria; Bacillati; Bacillota; Bacilli; Caryophanales; Caryophanaceae
Description: tRNA-Glu (TTC) (tRNA-Glu-TTC-4-1)
Rfam family: tRNA
About the family: Transfer RNA (tRNA) molecules are approximately 80 nucleotides in length. Their secondary structure includes four short double-helical elements and three loops (D, anti-codon, and T loops).
Source: RNAcentral